UAGGUAAUCUUCGGCAAUGGACGGAAGUCUGACCGAGCAACGCCGCGUGAGUGAAGAAGGUUUUCGGAUCGUAAAGCUCUGUUGUUAGAGAAGAACGUUGGUAGGAGUGGAAAAUCUACCAAGUGACGGUAACUAACCAGAAAGGGACGGCUAACUACGUGCCAGCAGCCGCGGUAAUACGUAGGUCCCGAGCGUUGUCCGGAUUUAUUGGGCGUAAAGCGAGCGCAGGCGGUUCUUUAAGUCUGAAGUUAAAGGCAGUGGCUUAACCAUUGUACGCUUUGGAAACGGGAGGACUUGAGUGCAGAAGGGGAGAGUGGAAUUCCAUGUGUAGCGGUGAAAUGCGUAGAUAUAUGGAGGAACACCGGUGGCGAAAGCGGCUCUCUGGUCUGUAACUGACGCUGAGGCUCGAAAGCGUGGGGAGCAAACAGG
Molecule: ribosomal RNA, 429 nt
Filed under: Bacillota bacterium
Lineage: Bacteria; Bacillati; Bacillota
Description: Firmicutes bacterium partial 16S ribosomal RNA
Rfam family: Bacterial small subunit ribosomal RNA
Source: RNAcentral